RNAcentral lists this ribosomal RNA (531 nucleotides) under uncultured bacterium. Its description in RNAcentral is "bacterial SSU rRNA". It matches the Rfam family "Bacterial small subunit ribosomal RNA", at positions 980 to 1509 of the family's 1533-position model. The record is from RNAcentral.
CUUGACAUGUCCGGUAUGGUUUCCAGAGAUGGAUUCCUUCAGUUAGGCUGGCCGGAACACAGGUGCUGCAUGGCUGUCGUCAGCUCGUGUCGUGAGAUGUUGGGUUAAGUCCGCAACGAGCGCAACCCUCGCCCUUAGUUGCCAUCAUUUAGUUGGGCACUCUAGGGGGACUGCCGGUGAUAAGCCGAGAGGAAGGUGGGGAUGACGUCAAGUCCUCAUGGCCCUUACGGGCUGGGCUACACACGUGCUACAAUGGCGGUGACAGUGGGAUGCUAAGGGGCGACCCCUCGCAAAUCUCAAAAAGCCGUCUCAGUUCGGAUUGCGCUCUGCAACUCGAGCGCAUGAAGGUGGAAUCGCUAGUAAUCGUAGAUCAGAACGCUACGGUGAAUACGUUCCCGGGCCUUGUACACACCGCCCGUCACACCAUGGGAGUUGGUUCUACCUGAAGGCGUUUUGCUAACCGCAAGGGGGCAGACGACCACGGUAGGGUCAGCGACUGGGGUGAAGUCGUAACAAGGUAAGCGUAGUGCU